UUAAACUCAAAGGAAUUGGCGGGGGCCCGCACAAGCGGUGGAGCAUGUGGUUUAAUCCGAUGGUACGCGUAGGACCUUACCUGGGCUCGAACGCACUCGGAAGACCUGCCGAAAGGUGGGUCGUCUCCGUCAGGGGACUGGGUGCGAGGUGCUGCAUGGCUGUCGUCAGCUCGUGCUGUGAGGUGUUGGGUUAAGUCCCGCAACGAGCGCAACCCCUGUCCGCAGUUGCCCUUCAUGGGAACUCUGCGGGGACCGCUCCCGCAAGGGAGAGGAAGGAGGGGACGACGUCAAGUCAUCAUGGCCCUUACGUCCAGGGCGACACACGUGCUACAAUGGGAGGGGACAACGGGUAGCAACCGGGCGACCGGAAGCCAAUCCCUCAAACCCCCCCUCAGUUCAGAUUGGAGUCUGCAACUCGACUCCAUGAAGCCGGAAUCGCUAGUAAUCGCGGAUCAGCCAUGCCGCGGUGAAUACGUUCCCGGGCCUUGCACACACCGCCCGUCACGCCAUGGGAGCCGGGGGCACCCAAAGGCGCCUCAA
This 540-nucleotide ribosomal RNA is filed under the name uncultured Bacteroidota bacterium. RNAcentral describes it as "bacterial SSU rRNA". It matches the Rfam family "Bacterial small subunit ribosomal RNA", at positions 895 to 1435 of the family's 1533-position model. Lineage: Bacteria; Pseudomonadati; Bacteroidota. The record is from RNAcentral.